GGGGUACAUGAGAAACAAGAGAACAAUUGGAUACAUAGUUCUUUUGCACACACUUCUAAAAUAUUUCCUUUAGGGAUAAAAAUGGAGCCCAGGUGGUAAAGUGCUUGCUUAGAAGCAAGCAGAAGAUGUGUGGCAUUCUUCGUUUGUUCCCGAGCACCAAAGAGACCAAAUGAUGGAGGAACAUCUGUAAUCCCAGCCCUUGGAGGGCUGGCAGUUCAAUACAACCUUUGGCUCCAUAGUGAGUUGGAGGCUAGCCCGAGAUAAGAGACCCUGUCUACAGCAACCCCCCUGCAGCCUCAGAAUGUAGCGUUUUGAAUGAGAAUGGCCCGCAUGGGCUCACAUACUUGAGUGUUUGGUACCCAGUUGGUGAGCUGGUUAGCAAGGAUUAGGAGGUGUGGCCUUGUUGGAGGAGGUGUAUCCUUGGAGGUGGGCUUUGAGGUACAAGGACAACACCAGGCCCUGUGUGUCUCCUUCUGUGCCUCCACUUUUCAGGUCAGAUGUAAAGUCUCAGCUACUGCUGCAGCGCCAUGCCCGCCUGCCUGCCUGCUAUGCUUCCCACCAUGAUGGUCGUAGACUCAGCCUCUAAAACGGGAUGGAAGCAUCCAUUUGUACAAACGACGUCCCUCCAAAGGUGAGCAGAAGAACAACUGUGACCCAUCCACACACAGAGUACUAAUCCCCAGAGUGAAGGAAUUGAGGAGCGUGAACCCCCAAGUCACACCCAACACGGGGGCUAAAUCACAGGGAACCCUGCCGAGGUAAGCAAGCCACACAAAGAGGAAAAGCAGAUCCGAGGGGGAAGCCAUGACUCUAGAGUUUACCAGGAGCAAGACCCAGAGUUCUUUGGUCUCUUGGACUUGCUUGUGAAGUCAACAUGGCUUUAUCUCCUCGCAGCUGAAAGGUAUGCUGCAAAAUUAGCACAGAGAAGAGAAAACAAGCCCAGGAUGGACGUGCAGGNNNNNNNNNNNNNNNNNNNNNNNNNNNNNNNNNNNNNNNNNNNNNNAGCCUCCUGGUUGACUUUUGCCAUUGCUCUGUGAACUCGGCACUACCCGUUUAAUUUGGUGGGUUGAUUUAACCCUGUAGCACAAUAUGACCAAAGAGAUUCCCUUCCCGGUUCAUGACCCUGCUGUUGGAGAGGCAGAAUCUCUACCCGGUAGCCUCUGAGUAAGAAAAGGAAGAGCUGGAGGAGUUGGGGUGAGACAAGGUAGUGGUGGGAACCGGAUCAGCUGGUGGAGUUAGGUUAAGACACAGCCGUGACGGAUCCCAGUCAUCCUUUGAUCAGACCACUGAGUGGAUAGAACUUUAUCCUGACAGAGAAGUAUUUUCUGUAGGAAAAAAAAAAGAUUAAAAACCAUUUCACCUCCAGUCUUUCUUGUGCCCACCCUCUCCCCUAAUACUUUGAAUAGCUACCAGUCUGUGCCACAAGAAGACCAACCUACACGUUAGUUAGAAAUGUGCUUGGUUGUGCAUUUGCACCUCAUUAUGACUCUUCCCUGCUCCCCAAAAAGGACAACUGAAGUCUUUGCUGUGCCCCAGGCACUUAGCAGACAGACAGGUACUCUCUGUAGACAGACACUCUCUGUAGACAGGCACUCUUUACAGACAGGCACUCUGCAGCCAUCAAAACACCUUUUCAGAGAAGCACCUACUCAUUCUUCCUUCAUCAAUGACAAACAAGAGAUGAAGACACACCCUUUUCUGUUCUCUUCUUUUGCCCUCCCACCCUUAUUUAGGAAAAAGGUGGUAUAUGGAGGGAGGGCAACUUGUCUUAUUCCUCACUUGUAUGCAGCGCUUGCUCAGGAAAUAUGACCAAGCAUCUUGUCAUCUUUAUCAUGAUCUAUUAACUGUCUUACAGCUGACUCUUCAGAGACCGUCAUGCUUAUGAAGAUAAGAUGGUACCUGUGUGCAGUCUCUCAUCAUGAGAUUUAAUGGCCAAGUCACCUACUUCCUGAUUCGCAGAGCUGGGAAUAAAAACACGGAGAGGCCAUUGGUUAAAGACGUCAUUGGCAGAGCAAGCUGAAUGCUCUGCUUCCUUCAGCGUUGGCCUGUGACCAAGCAACAGGCUCAGGGCAUGAGCCUGAACUUCAGGCUGUAUAUAGGCAAACUGUGAUGGGCACAGAGAGCCAGGCUGAAAACAGAGGUAGGUUGAGGUAGUCAAGUCUAGCUACUGUUGGAUUAGUAGCAACUCAAAGAUGUUACCUUCCUUCAUCAUUGACAAUCAUCCUUUGCAUGUUAGAUACAGCACUUGACAUCUGAGAGGAUACAAUCCACAGGGCAUUCUAACACACUGAGUGCAGGACAAAAGGUAAGGUAGGAAUAAUUGUGANUUCUGCAUAAGCAUCAAGUCACUGAAGACCAAUGUAGGGAAUCAUCACCAAAAUGGCACAGGAAAGAGGAUGAUGGGAAAUCUGCAGGACUGGCAGUGUCACGGGUUAUGAAGGGCAAUGCCUUUCUUAAAAAAAAUAUUUGGCAAGAAGCAAGUGGUAAGGAUGGCAGUGAGGGGCACCGUGCAAGUCAGUGAGGGGCACCAUGGCUCUUAACAGUAGAAAGGGGAGGUGGAUGCUUAUAUCCUGGUGACAGGAAGCAGGGCACGGCCAGAACCCAGGCAACUCUCUUACCUUCCGACAUGCCACUACCUUACCACUGGACCUCAUGUNCAAAGAAUUCCACAACCUCCAGGAAUAUGGGUUUAAGUGCACGAGCCCAUACGGGGCAUCUCACAUUCCUGCCACAGCAGUUAGAUGGAAAAGAUUGGUUCAGAGUCGAGNAAAGCCACACAGAAAUACUAAUGCAGCACAAUGGGGCAGCAGUCUUCUAGUGAGUGAAGAACUCGAUAAGGAAGAGACCUGAAGGCCGGGGAGAUAGUUCAGUUGAUGAACUGCUUGCUUUGCAAGCACAGGGAUAUAUGCUUGAUCCUCAGAACCCAUGUAAACAGGUCAGGACAUGAUGCACAUUUGUGACCAGUUCUGGGGAGGGAAAGAAAAGAGCCCCAAGGCUUGCUGAGUAGCUAGCUUAGCCGACUUAGUUCCAGGCCACGGCUUUGUCUAAAAACCAAAACAAACAAAGCAAAAAUAUCAGCCAGCCAAGCAAACCACNCAGGUAGGUGGUACCUGAGACAUGACCCUGAGUUUGCCUUCUGGCUUCUAUAUGUAUGCAUANNGAUGGACUAUAACCUGAGCNUUUGGGUCAUGCAGCGCUGUCACAGGUGUGAAGAGGGUUGAAGGAUGCAUAGUGAGACAGUAAAGAGCCACAGACAGAUGCAGAGCCAGAUGAAAUGGCCUCUGAAGCCAGUUGUUCUCAGCGACUGCAUGUGGCAUGAAUUAGCACAGAAGCUAAGCAAAACCAAACCAACUCGGAGGGCAGGGGGAGGCAGCAAGACAGAACUGAUAACUGAGCACUGAGAACCUUAAAAAGUGAGCCACCGUGGAUGCUUUUGUGGUGCCUGGAACAAAAGACUCCCACUCGGGAGGCAAGGAAACAUACUAAUUCCCUGAGCUCAGUCACGAAAUACCUGUGGAGCCCUGGGUGGUGGCACAUGCCUUUAAUCCCAGCACUUGGGAGGCAGAGUCAGGUAGAUCUCUGAGUAUGAAGCCAGCUUGGGCUACAUCGUGAGUUCCAAACCUGACAAGCUAUAUAGUGAGAUAGUGAGACCCUUUCUCAAAAAAAAAAAAAAAAAAAAAAAAAAGAUAUAACACAGGUUUGGAGGAGUGAGAUUUAAUGAACUUCUGUUAUUGUUUCUUGGGGGUGGGGUGCUUGAGUCAGAGUACUUAGUUCAAUACCCUCAUUUUUAUCAUUCGGAAAACCAAGGGCCAGAGAGGACGGUGAGGUUGUAUCCCACAGACAUCCACGUGGGCCUGUGAAGUUCUGGUUGGCCUAUACUAUAUUUAGAAAACAGCAAGUAUAGUUGAUGUCUUAGGCACAAUCCUGCAAUGUGACCGUAGGAUGAGUGGAAACAGAACCCUGGGGUUUGACUUUUGGCCUCUGCAUUCUGAUUUCAAAAUCCUGACCUUGCUAACCUCAGUCCCCACAGACCUUGGUGGACAACGAGCUAUAUAGCACUAGGGCCGUCCAAAAGCUAAAAGAGUCCAAGAAAGCCACCUCAUUCCAGAAAGUUGGAAACCACUGUAGGCGAAGGAUAAGCGGGAACCUGCAACAACCCCCGGCUCCAAGAUCUGGGAAGACUCCUGCUAGCUGGAGCCUCUGGCCCCUUUCCAGGACGUCCCACUCUGGUCUUGGCUAUCUGACUUUUGCCCAGAUUCACAUCCUCUUUGAACCCCGUGAUUAUCCAUAAAGCUUCAUCCAGCACCAUGUGUCCGUGCCACAGUUUGUCCCAAUAAAUUGAGAACAAAUUGAGACUCUCGCAUGGACCAUGGAUGCAUUCCAUUUAGCCUCAUUUGAAAUACAUCUUUGGAGCUGUGCUCCACAAAUCUGUCUGACACAAUAAAUAUGUAUGAAGCCCCAGCGGCCUCCUACACCCUGGGAGCGUCCAGCUCUGGGAUGGAUAACAGACAGGGAGAAUUUUAAGUACAUCCUGCUCCACCAAGGCUCAAUUCUCUCCCAUUUCCUUUUCCUUGCUUCUUUGCUCCCUGAUGCUUGGCGUUCUCCUCCCAACCCAGCAGAAAGAUAAUUGCUUGGAGGGCUGAGUCGGGCAGAGCUGUUUUCUUCUUUUCCUUUCCUAGUAGUGUUGCAAAACCUUAAAACUGUAAAGGAAUAACAGCUUCCCCGCAGUGUACAAACACAGCUCUGCUUCGGCAAACAGGAAACCAUCCCAGGGCUGUGGGCUCCUGAGCCAGGAAAUGGGUCUCUGUUGCCCUGGCUACCUUCCCCAGGUCCUUCCUGGACAUUCAAGACAGUUAAAAAUAGUAACCACCGCAACCAGAAGGAAAGAUGAGAUGACUUGUUGUCUAGCCACAGAUUUGGGUGGUUGUAGAGGGAGCUAAGUCUCUGGUCUCAGUAUGGUAAGAAUUCUUACAGGAUUAAGGCUGGUCCCUUUAGUAAAAUUUCAACCCCAAGUAUCUCCGAGGAACCAGCUUAUGCCAGGUAGGAGGUUAAUUAAGCAGGGCUGUUGAGCCGUGCAUGUACACACAUGGGCAUGCAUAUGUGAAUACUAUAGCUAAGAUGAAACCCCAGAGCUCCCAUGGGUGUAGCCUCUGUGCAGAGCAGGUGGCUCAUGGGACCCAAAGACUAAAAGAAAAAAACAAUUUU
This 5205-nucleotide long non-coding RNA is filed under the name Mus pahari (shrew mouse). RNAcentral's name for it is "lncRNA (MGP_PahariEiJ_G0003021.1)". Lineage: Eukaryota; Metazoa; Chordata; Mammalia; Rodentia; Muridae. The record is from RNAcentral.